CAGUAACCGCGGGAAUACGUAGGUCCCGAGCGUUGUCCGGAUUUAUUGGGCGUAAAGCGAGCGCAGGCGGUUAGAUAAGUCUGAAGUUAAAGGCUGUGGCUUAACCAUAGUACGCUUUGGAAACUGUUUAACUUGAGUGCAAGAGGGGAGAGUGGAAUUCCAUGUGUAGCGGUGAAAUGCGUAGAUAUAUGAAGGAACACCGGUGGCGAAAGCGGCUCUCUGGCUUGUAACUGACGCUGAGGCUCGAAAGCGUGGGGAGCAAACAGGAUUAGAUACCCGCGUAGUCCCUGUCUCUUAUACA
This 301-nucleotide ribosomal RNA is filed under the name uncultured bacterium. RNAcentral's name for it is "partial 16S ribosomal RNA". It matches the Rfam family "Bacterial small subunit ribosomal RNA", at positions 509 to 808 of the family's 1533-position model. The record is from RNAcentral.